Molecule: non-coding RNA, 21 nt
Filed under: Caenorhabditis elegans
Lineage: Eukaryota; Metazoa; Nematoda; Chromadorea; Rhabditida; Rhabditidae
Source: RNAcentral
UCUCGAAAUUCUACGGAAAAA